This 238-nucleotide long non-coding RNA is filed under the name Elaeis guineensis (African oil palm). RNAcentral's name for it is "long non-coding RNA (EGUI_LNC024294)". Lineage: Eukaryota; Viridiplantae; Streptophyta; Magnoliopsida; Arecales; Arecaceae. The record is from RNAcentral.
CUUGCCUUCUAUUCUUUCUUUUCUUCUUACUUCCUUCCAUGUAUUUCUUUGUAUUUUUUCCUUCCUUUUAUUUUCUUUCCCUUCCUUUCUUUCAUUUUCCUUUGUCUCUUUCUGGCAUUCCUUCCUUUUCUUUUCAUUUCCCUUUCCCUUCUUAAUUUCUUUCCUUCUUUUCUUUUCUUCUUCUUUCCUUCCUCUUUUUUUUUCUUUCCUUUUCAUUUCUUCUUCUUCCCCACAUGGA